RNAcentral lists this unclassified non-coding RNA (255 nucleotides) under fungal sp. Its description in RNAcentral is "partial internal transcribed spacer region". The stretch from base 1 to 46 matches the Rfam family "Eukaryotic small subunit ribosomal RNA", at positions 1786 to 1831 of the family's 1831-position model. Lineage: Eukaryota; Fungi. The record is from RNAcentral.
AAGUCGUAACAAGGUUUCCGUAGGUGAACCUGCGGAAGGAUCAUUAAUGAGUAAGGGUCUCACGGCCCGACCUCCAACCCUUUGUUGUUAAAACACCCUUGUUGCUUUGGCGUGGACCGCCGCUGUAAAAAGCGGCUGCCGGUCUUAGGCCCGGCAUGCGCCCGCCAGAGGUAAUACAAACUCUUGUCUUUAACCAGUCGUCUGAGUUAUAAUUUAAAUAAAUUAAAACUUUCAACAACGGAUCUCUUGGUUCUG